GAAACCCGGUGAUCUAGCCAUGGGCAGGUUGAAGGUUGGGUAACACUAACUGGAGGACCGAACCGACUAAUGUUGAAAAAUUAGCGGAUGACUUGUGGCUGGGGGUGAAAGGCCAAUCAAACCGGGAGAUAGCUGGUUCUCCCCGAAAGCUAUUUAGGUAGCGCCUCGUGAAUUCAUCUCCGGGGGUAGAGCACUGUUUCGGCAAGGGGGUCAUCCCGACUUACCAACCCGAUGCAAACUGCGAAUACCGGAGAAUGUUAUCACGGGAGACACACGGCGGGUGCUAACGUCCGUCGUGAAGAGGGAAACAACCCAGACCGCCAGCUAAGGUCCCAAAGUCAUGGUUAAGUGGGAAACGAUGUGGGAAGGCCCAGACAGCCAGGAUGUUGGCUUAGAAGCAGCCAUCAUUUAAAGAAAGCGUAAUAGCUCACUGGUCGAGUCGGCCUGCGCGGAAGAUGUAACGGGGCUAAACCAUGCACCGAAGCUGCGGCAGCGACACUAUGUGUUGUUGGGUAGGGGAGCGUUCUGUAAGCCUGUGAAGGUGGCCUGUGAGGGUUGCUGGAGGUAUCAGAAGUGCGAAUGCUGACAUAAGUAACGAUAAAGCGGGUGAAAAGCCCGCUCGCCGGAAGACCAAGGGUUCCUGUCCAACGUUAAUCGGGGCAGGGUGAGUCGACCCCUAAGGCGAGGCCGAAAGGCGUAGUCGAUGGGAAACAGGUUAAUAUUCCUGUACUUGGUGUUACUGCGAAGGGGGGACGGAGAAGGCUAUGUUGGCCGGGCGACGGUUGUCCCGGUUUAAGCGUGUAGGCUGGUUUUCCAGGCAAAUCCGGAAAACCAAGGCUGAGGCGUGAUGACGAGGCACUACGGUGCUGAAGCGACAAAUGCCCUGCUUCCAGGAAAAGCCUCUAAGCAUCAGGUAACAUCAAAUCGUACCCCAAACCGACACAGGUGGUCAGGUAGAGAAUACCAAGGCGCUUGAGAGAACUCGGGUGAAGGAACUAGGCAAAAUGGUGCCGUAACUUCGGGAGAAGGCACGCUGAUAUGUAGGUGAAGCGACUUGCUCGUGGAGCUGAAAUCAGUCGAAGAUACCAGCUGGCUGCAACUGUUUAUUAAAAACACAGCACUGUGCAAACACGAAAGUGGACGUAUACGGUGUGACGCCUGCCCGGUGCCGGAAGGUUAAUUGAUGGGGUUAGCGGCAACGCGAAGCUCUUGAUCGAAGCCCCGGUAAACGGCGGCCGUAACUAUAACGGUCCUAAGGUAGCGAAAUUCCUUGUCGGGUAAGUUCCGACCUGCACGAAUGGCGUAAUGAUGGCCAGGCUGUCUCCACCCGAGACUCAGUGAAAUUGAACUCGCUGUGAAGAUGCAGUGUACCCGCGGCAAGACGGAAAGACCCCGUGAACCUUUACUAUAGCUUGACACUGAACAUUGAGCCUUGAUGUGUAGGAUAGGUGGGAGGCUUUGAAGUGUGGACGCCAGUCUGCAUGGAGCCGACCUUGAAAUACCACCCUUUAAUGUUUGAUGUUCUAACGUUGGCCCGUAAUCCGGGUUGCGGACAGUGUCUGGUGGGUAGUUUGACUGGGGCGGUCUCCUCCUAAAGAGUAACGGAGGAGCACGAAGGUUGGCUAAUCCUGGUCGGACAUCAGGAGGUUAGUGCAAUGGCAUAAGCCAGCUUGACUGCGAGCGUGACGGCGCGAGCAGGUGCGAAAGCAGGUCAUAGUGAUCCGGUGGUUCUGAAUGGAAGGGCCAUCGCUCAACGGAUAAAAGGUACUCCGGGGAUAACAGGCUGAUACCGCCCAAGAGUUCAUAUCGACGGCGGUGUUUGGCACCUCGAUGUCGGCUCAUCACAUCCUGGGGCUGAAGUAGGUCCCAAGGGUAUGGCUGUUCGCCAUUUAAAGUGGUACGCGAGCUGGGUUUAGAACGUCGUGAGACAGUUCGGUCCCUAUCUGCCGUGGGCGCUGGAGAACUGAGGGGGGCUGCUCCUAGUACGAGAGGACCGGAGUGGACGCAUCACUGGUGUUCGGGUUGUCAUGCCAAUGGCACUGCCCGGUAGCUAAAUGCGGAAGAGAUAAGUGCUGAAAGCAUCUAAGCACGAAACUUGC
Molecule: ribosomal RNA, 2099 nt
Filed under: Escherichia coli
Lineage: Bacteria; Pseudomonadati; Pseudomonadota; Gammaproteobacteria; Enterobacterales; Enterobacteriaceae
Description: partial 23S ribosomal RNA
Rfam family: Bacterial large subunit ribosomal RNA
Source: RNAcentral